This 207-nucleotide ribosomal RNA is filed under the name uncultured bacterium. Its description in RNAcentral is "partial 16S ribosomal RNA". It matches the Rfam family "Bacterial small subunit ribosomal RNA", at positions 568 to 774 of the family's 1533-position model. The record is from RNAcentral.
UGCGUAGACGGUAUGUUAAGUUCGUUGUUAAAGGCUCCGGCCUAACCGGAGUACCGCAAUGAAAACUGGCGUGCUAGAGGGUGAGAGAGAGAAGUGGAAUUCCCGGAGUAGCGGUAAAAUGCGUGGAUCUCGGGAGGAACACCAAUGGCGAAGGCAGCUUCUUGGCUCAUUCCUGACGUUGAGGCACGAAAGCGUGGGGGAGAAACA